GUGAUGGGGUAUAGAUGAUUGAGGUGUAGGUGAUGGGGUGUAGAUGAUUGGGAUAUAGAUGAUCGAGAUGUAGGUGAUGGGGUAUAGAUGAUCAAGGUGUAGGUGAUGGGGUAUAGAUGAUUGAGGUGUAGGUGAUGGGGUAUAGAUGAUCGAGGUGUAGGUGAUGGGGUAUAGAUGAUUGAGGUGUAGGUGAUGGGGUGUAGGUGAUGGGGGUCAAGGUGAUCAAGGUGUUGGUGAUGGGGUGUUGGUGAUCGGGGUGUAAGUGAUGAGGUAUAGGUGGUGGGGUGUAGAUGAUUGGGGUGUAGGUGAUGGGGUGUAGGUGACGGGUAUAGGUGAUGGGGUAUAGAUGAUCAGGGUGUAGGUGAUUGGGGUAUAGGUGAGCAGGGUGUAAGUGAAGGGGUAUAGGUGGUGGGGUAUAGAUGAUCAGGUGUAGGUGACUGGGGUUUGGGUGAUGGGGUGUAGGUGAUGGGGUAUAGAUGAUUGAGGUAUCGGUGAUGGGGGUCAAGGUGAUCAAGGUGUAGGUGAUGGGGUGUUGGUGAUUGGGGUGUAGGUGAUCAGGGUGUAAGUGAUGAGGUAUAGGUGAUGCAGUGUAGGUGAUCAGGGUAUAGGUGAUGAGGUGUAGGUGAUGGAGUGUAGAUGAUUGAGGUGUAGGUGAUGGGGUAUAGGUGAUUGGGGUGUAGGCAAUGGGGUGUAGGUGAUCGGGGUCAAGGUGAUAGAGGUGUAGGUGAUGGGGUGUUGGUGAUUGGGGUGUAGGUGAUCAGGGUGUAGGUGAUCAGGGUGUAGGUGAUCCGAACUUCCUACUCAAUUCAGGCAACAGCUCCCAGCCUGAGGCAAAUACCCCCCGAGGCAGUCAGGGUCUCACCUCCCAUGGCUCUGACGCAGGCCUCCAAGGUGAGGAGAUGGAGGUAGCAGAGGUCACUUCACUCAGCUGUCACACACCCUGAGGGAACUCCUGUCACUGUUAUCCCACCUGCAAGUGAGGAGCCAGCAUUUCUCAUGCUCCAGGGUUGGCCACAGAGCCCAUUCAAGGGAGGGAGAAGAGCCUUCGGCCAGCGCAUCCUAACCGCAGAAAGCCAAGACCUCUGCAGAAAAAGAGACCAGGCCCAUAAAAAGAGAUCCAUGAGUUGAGUUCCCUGCCAUGCCACCCCCAGGCAUCUCUGCCCACCAGCCUGCAUGAGCCAGCCCCUCAGUGCAGGUUUUUCCAAUUGGCCGUUUGUUCUUCCACCCAACACUCAAGAUUUGCUUCUCAGCCUGGACAACAUAGCAAAACCCCAUCUCUACAAAAAAUACAAAAAUUAGCUGGGCAUAGUGGCACACACCUAUAGUCCCAGCUACUCGGGAGGCUGAAGUGGGAAGAUUACCUGAGCCUGGGAGGUCAAGGUUGCAGUGAGCCAUGAUCAUGCCACUGUACUCCAGCCUGGGUGACAGAGUGAGAACUUGUCUCAAAAACAAAAAAAGAGAGGAAGAUCUGCUUCUUCAAACCCACACAACUAAUAUAAAGUAAUCAACCUCCCCACCUCAAUAACCUGAAGUUAAACAUCACACAAUAAGCCCUGAACAGAGAGCUGUAGGUCAAUGUUCCAUUUUGCUUUUAAAAGCUUCACAAGAACAUUUCAUUUAUUAAAAUAGUUUCUGUAAACUCUUUCAGAAUAACAAAAUUCACUUGCCUUGCUUAAACAGCAUUUCAAGUAGAAGUAUUUUUAUUUCAAGGCACCAUAAAAUGAUGAUCUCUCUAAGAAAUACCUCUCCUUC
RNAcentral lists this long non-coding RNA (1752 nucleotides) under Homo sapiens (human). RNAcentral describes it as "HSALNT0264939". The record is from RNAcentral. Lineage: Eukaryota; Metazoa; Chordata; Mammalia; Primates; Hominidae.